Molecule: ribosomal RNA, 2891 nt
Filed under: Acinetobacter baumannii
Lineage: Bacteria; Pseudomonadati; Pseudomonadota; Gammaproteobacteria; Moraxellales; Moraxellaceae
Description: bacterial LSU rRNA
Rfam family: Bacterial large subunit ribosomal RNA
Source: RNAcentral
UCAAGUAAUUAAGUGCAUGUGGUGGAUGCCUUGGCAGUCAGAGGCGAUGAAAGACGUGAUAGCCUGCGAAAAGCUCCGGGGAGGCGGCAAAUAUCCUUUGAUCCGGAGAUGUCUGAAUGGGGGAACCCACCUACUUUAAGGUAGGUAUUGCAACAUGAAUACAUAGUGUUGCAAGGCGAACGAGGGGAAGUGAAACAUCUCAGUACCCUUAGGAAAAGAAAUCAAUUGAGAUUCCCUCAGUAGCGGCGAGCGAACGGGGAUCAGCCCAUUAAGUUAUGUGUGUUUUAGUGGAACGCUCUGGGAAGGGCGAACGUAGAGGGUGAUAUUCCCGUACACGAAAGGGCACACAUAAUGAUGACGAGUAGGGCGAGGCACGUGAAACCUUGUCUGAAUAUGGGGGGACCAUCCUCCAAGGCUAAAUACUCCUGACUGACCGAUAGUGAACCAGUACCGUGAGGGAAAGGCGAAAAGAACCCCUGUGAGGGGAGUGAAAUAGAUCCUGAAACCGCAUGCAUACAAGCAGUGGGAGCACCUUCGUGGUGUGACUGCGUACCUUUUGUAUAAUGGGUCAGCGACUUAUAUUCAGUAGCGAGGUUAACCGUAUAGGGGAGCCGUAGAGAAAUCGAGUCUUAAUAGGGCGUUUAGUUGCUGGGUAUAGACCCGAAACCAGGCGAUCUAUCCAUGAGCAGGUUGAAGGUUGGGUAACACUAACUGGAGGACCGAACCCACUGUCGUUGAAAAGCCAGGGGAUGACUUGUGGAUAGGGGUGAAAGGCUAAUCAAGCCUGGUGAUAGCUGGUUCUCCCCGAAAGCUAUUUAGGUAGCGCCUCGGACGAAUACCAUAGGGGGUAGAGCACUGUUUCGGCUAGGGGGUCAUCCCGACUUACCAAACCGAUGCAAACUCCGAAUACCUAUGAGUACUAUCCGGGAGACAGACUGCGGGUGCUAACGUCCGUAGUCAAGAGGAAAACAAUCCAGACCGCCAGCUAAGGCCCCAAAAUCAUAGUUAAGUGGGAAACGAUGUGGGAAGGCAUAGACAGCUAGGAGGUUGGCUUAGAAGCAGCCACCCUUUAAAGAAAGCGUAAUAGCUCACUAGUCGAGUCGGCCUGCGCGGAAGAUGUAACGGGGCUAAAACUAUGUGCCGAAGCUGCGGAUGUAUACUUUGUAUACGUGGUAGGGGAGCGUUCUGUAAGCCGAUGAAGGUGUGUUGAGAAGCAUGCUGGAGGUAUCAGAAGUGCGAAUGCUGACGUGAGUAACGACAAAACGGGUGAAAAACCCGUUCGCCGAAAGACCAAGGGUUCCAGUCCAACGUUAAUCGGGGCUGGGUGAGUCGACCCCUAAGGCGAGGCCGAAAGGCGUAGUCGAUGGGAAAAUGGUUAAUAUUCCAUUACUUCUGUGUAAUGCGAUGAGAGGACGGAGAAGGCUAAAUCAGCCUGGCGUUGGUUGUCCAGGUGAAAGGAUGUAGGCAUGUAUCUUAGGCAAAUCCGGGGUACUCUAUGCUGAGAUCUGAUAGCAAGCUGUACUUGUACAGCGAAGUGGUUGAUGCCAUGCUUCCAGGAAAAGUCUCUAAGCUUCAGUUACACAGGAAUCGUACCCGAAACCGACACAGGUGGUCAGGUCGAGUAGACCAAGGCGCUUGAGAGAACUCUGCUGAAGGAACUAGGCAAAAUGGUACCGUAACUUCGGGAGAAGGUACGCUGUUGUUGGUGAUGGAACUCGCUUCCUGAGCUGACGACAGCCGCAGAAACCAGGCCGCUGCAACUGUUUAUUAAAAACAUAGCACUCUGCAAACACGAAAGUGGACGUAUAGGGUGUGAUGCCUGCCCGGUGCUGGAAGGUUAAUUGAUGGGGUUAGCGUAAGCGAAGCUCUUGAUCGAAGCCCCAGUAAACGGCGGCCGUAACUAUAACGGUCCUAAGGUAGCGAAAUUCCUUGUCGGGUAAGUUCCGACCUGCACGAAUGGCAUAAUGAUGGCGGCGCUGUCUCCAGCAGAGGCUCAGUGAAAUCGAAAUCGCUGUGAAGAUGCAGUGUACCCGCGGCUAGACGGAAAGACCCCGUGAACCUUUACUGCAGCUUGACACUGAACUUUGACCUUACUUGUGUAGGAUAGGUGGGAGGCUUUGAAGCUGGAACGCUAGUUCCAGUGGAGCCGUCCUUGAAAUACCACCCUGGUAAUGUUGAGGUUCUAACUCUGUCCCGUGAUCCGGGACGAGGACCGUGUCUGGUGGGUAGUUUGACUGGGGCGGUCUCCUCCUAAAGAGUAACGGAGGAGUACGAAGGUGCGCUCAGCGUGGUCGGAAAUCACGCGUAGAGUAUAAAGGCAAAAGCGCGCUUAACUGCGAGACCCACAAGUCGAGCAGGUACGAAAGUAGGUCUUAGUGAUCCGGUGGUUCUGUAUGGAAGGGCCAUCGCUCAACGGAUAAAAGGUACUCUGGGGAUAACAGGCUGAUACCGCCCAAGAGUUCAUAUCGACGGCGGUGUUUGGCACCUCGAUGUCGGCUCAUCUCAUCCUGGGGCUGAAGCAGGUCCCAAGGGUAUGGCUGUUCGCCAUUUAAAGAGGUACGCGAGCUGGGUUUAGAACGUCGUGAGACAGUUCGGUCCCUAUCUACCGUGGGCGCUGGAAAUUUGAGAGGAUCUGCUCCUAGUACGAGAGGACCAGAGUGGACGAACCUCUGGUGUACCGGUUGUGACGCCAGUCGCAUCGCCGGGUAGCUAUGUUCGGAAGGGAUAACCGCUGAAAGCAUCUAAGCGGGAAGCCUACCUCAAGAUAAGAUUUCCCUAGGACUUUAUGUCCUCUAAAGAGCCGUUCGAGACUAGGACGUUGAUAGGUUGGAUGUGGAAGCAUAGUGAUAUGUGAAGCUGACCAAUACUAAUUGCUCGUGAGGCUUGACUAU